RNAcentral lists this ribosomal RNA (499 nucleotides) under uncultured bacterium. Its description in RNAcentral is "partial 16S ribosomal RNA". It matches the Rfam family "Bacterial small subunit ribosomal RNA", at positions 28 to 507 of the family's 1533-position model. The record is from RNAcentral.
GACGAACGCUGGCGGCGUGCUUAACACAUGCAAGUCGAACGGGCCCGCCCCUGUUUUUGGGGGUGGGUUGAGUGGCGAACGGGUGAGUAUCACGUGAGUAACCUGCCCCCUGCUCCUGGAUAACUGCUUGAAAGGGCGGCUAAUACGGGGUGUGCCGGCUGGUCCGCAUGGGCCUGGUCGGGAUAGUUUCAUCUUCGGGUGUUUCGGUGGGGGAUGGGCUCGCGGCCUAUCAGCUUGUUGGUGGGGUGAUGGCCCACCAAGGCGGUGACGGGUAGCCGGCCUGAGAGGGUGGGCGGCCACACUGGGACUCAGACACGGGCCAGACUCCUGCGGGAGGCGGCAGUGGGGGGUAUUGCACGAUGGGCGGAAGCCUGAUGCAGCGACGUCGCGUGAGGGAUGGAGGCCGUCGGGUUGUGAACCUCUUUCUCCGGUGGUGAAGGCCCUGUCCGUUGCGGCGGGGUUGACGGUAGCCGGGUAUGAAGCGCCGGCUAACUACGUG